AACCAUAGAAACCUGCGGAGUACCUGCGGAGGGAUCAUUACCGAGUUUACAACUCCCAAACCCCUGUGAACAUACCAAUUGUUGCCUCGGCGGAUCAGCCCGCUCCCGGUAAAACGGGACGGCCCGCCAGAGGGCCCCUAAACUCUGUUUCUAUAUGUAACUUCUGAGUAAAACCAUAAAUAAAUCAAAACUUUUAACAACGGAUCU
RNAcentral lists this unclassified non-coding RNA (207 nucleotides) under soil metagenome. RNAcentral's name for it is "partial contains 5.8S ribosomal RNA, internal transcribed spacer 2, and large subunit ribosomal RNA". The record is from RNAcentral.